This 428-nucleotide ribosomal RNA is filed under the name Crithidia expoeki. RNAcentral's name for it is "SSU rRNA". It matches the Rfam family "Eukaryotic small subunit ribosomal RNA", at positions 428 to 805 of the family's 1831-position model. Lineage: Eukaryota; Euglenozoa; Kinetoplastea; Trypanosomatida; Trypanosomatidae. The record is from RNAcentral.
GCAGGCGCGCAAAUUGCCCAAUGUCAAAACAAAACGAUGAGGCAGCGAAAAGAAAUAGAGCAGUCAGUCCAUUUGGAUUGACUUUUCAAUGGGGGAUAUUUAAACCCAUCCAAUAUCGAGUAACAAUUGGAGGACAAGUCUGGUGCCAGCACCCGCGGUAAUUCCAGCUCCAAAAGCGUAUAUUAAUGCUGUUGCUGUUAAAGGGUUCGUAGUUGAACUGUGGGCUGUGUAGGUUUGUUCCUGGUCGUCCCGUCCAUGUCGGAUUUGGUGGCCCAGGCCCUUGCAGCCCGUGAACAUUCAAAGAAACAAGAAACACGGGAGUGGUUCCCUUCCUGAUCUACGCAUGUCAUGCAUGCCAGGGGGCGUCCGUGAUUUUUUACUGUGACUAAAGAAGUGUGACUAAAGCAGUCAUUCGACUUGAAUUAGAA